AAGGGAGACCUAAUUCAGGUAGGAGACGAAAAAAAAGUAGUCCCAACCAAGAAUCAAUCCCAAAAGGUCGGAGCGAGGCGAAAUUGGCUUUCAAACUAGGUUCUGGGUUCACACAAGACCUGAAUCAGGAACAAGGGCUAUUAGCUCAGGUGGUUAGAGCGCACCCCUGAUAAGGGUGAGGUCCCUGGUUCGAGUCCAGGAUGGCCCACCUGCACAGGUGGCAAAAACAAGAGAAGCGAGGAAUCAGCACCUUAUCUUAUCUAUACAUAUAUAGGAGAGAAUGCUGGCUCUGAGUAAAGAGUCCAGAGGAACCUUGAAAACUGCAUAGAGCUAGGUGAAAAAGCCAAAAAAGAAGACCGCAA
RNAcentral lists this transfer RNA (362 nucleotides) under uncultured Microcystis sp. RNAcentral describes it as "partial 16S-23S ribosomal RNA intergenic spacer". The stretch from base 135 to 208 matches the Rfam family "tRNA". Lineage: Bacteria; Bacillati; Cyanobacteriota; Cyanophyceae; Chroococcales; Microcystaceae. The record is from RNAcentral.